UUGCUUUGGCAGCAUAUAUACUAAAAUUGGAACAAUACAGAGAUUAGCAUGGCCCCUGUGCAAGGAUGACAUGCAAAUUCAUGAAGAAUUCCAUAUUUUU
RNAcentral lists this small nuclear RNA (100 nucleotides) under Marmota marmota marmota (Alpine marmot). RNAcentral also lists the same sequence under 1 other name. The record is from RNAcentral. Lineage: Eukaryota; Metazoa; Chordata; Mammalia; Rodentia; Sciuridae.